Rattus norvegicus (Norway rat) is the source of this 215-nucleotide non-coding RNA. The record is from Rfam. Lineage: Eukaryota; Metazoa; Chordata; Mammalia; Rodentia; Muridae.
ACAGCUUUGAACAAAAGUCCACAGCCAGUGUGUUCCAAGUCCCUGCACAGGGCUGGCUGUGGCAGGGGACACUCUCCUGCUGGCUCUCUCUGACCACACAUUAGCUGGCUCCCAUCCUCAGGUGCACGGCCACACCCUUGCACCCAACCUUGAUCCUCUGAUGGGGAAGGUCCCAGGACUUGCCAGCUGGGACAGGCCUCACCCCCAAGCGCUCU